CCUUGAGCAUCACAGGUUUGAAGUUUAUGGGUCCACUUAUAGAUGGAUUUUCUUCCAUCUCUGCCACCCGUGAGAUAGCAAGACCCACUCCUCUUCUUCCUCCUCCCAAGCAGCCUACUCAACGUGAAGACUACAAAGAUGAAGACCUUUAUGAUGAUCCUCUUCCACUUAAUGAAUGUUUUUGAGUCCACCUCGCUGGAUUUUGUGAAAAUAGAUCCUUCACACACAACAAAGAAGGAACUUUCUGGAAGGCUGUACUCUGGAACUGCAGACUUCUCUCUCAAGUCAAGUACAUUUCUGUUUUUCUUAAAGCUGCAAAACUACAACAAUGUUUAUAUUCAUAUGAAGUAUUUCAGCAAUUCAUAGCCAAUUUAUCAAUGACCACGCAGCUGCAGGCACUGCAGUUUAAAAAAAUAUACCAGCUCACUUAGUGUUUACAUAGGCUCUGAAAGCCCCACGUCCUGGCAGGGGGACGGGAGCCACCGGAGUCAUUAGAAAGACUUUGCAACCUGCAAGGAUACAUAGAUCAUGCUUGUUUGUUUUGAAACCCCAGAAAAAAAUGAUAAUGGGAGCUCAUCACCAGUGAAUUAGCCUUUGAAUGCAUGCUGCCUCUCUGAACAACUGUGAGAAUUCAAAAGUAUAUCCAUUGGAUCAACUGACAAUUUUGGGGGCCUCCUGUGGCAAAAUCAUCUUACUAGAUGACUUCAACAGAAAAGGGAUGUGGAAGAGAAACGAUCCCAAUUUUUUCAGUUAAGCCUCAGUCUGUGUACAAAAGCGCGGACGAUCCUUCCAGAAGAACCACAGCCGUUGUUGAUGAAUCUGGGUGUGGGUAGAGCUUGUCCGCUGGAGGUGACGCAGACACCAUCACUACAGUGUAAACACCAUUCAUGCAACUGCAGCCACCACCGGGGCCACUGGCCAGACCACCACUUCCCAGAGCCCAGAUACUGCAGCAGCUAUAAAUAGCUUUGUAGAAUUACAUUAGGUGAGACAGCCCAAUAUCCCAUUGCAUGAGCAAUGUGGAAUUUUGAAUAAAAAGUAGUUUAAAUGGCAUUUUGGUUUCAGUAGUGAAUUAAAAGCAAGAAACAAAUCACAGAAGAGGGACAAACAGAUGUUUCUCUGAUAGCUGGAUUCCUUAGAAAAUUGACUAUAAAUUCCAUGAAGAUAAUUAUUAGCACUGGAUUAUACAAUCAGCAUGAUUUGCCUGGUUAUCUACAAAAUCAUUAAAAAGUAUAAGAAGAAUCAAAUGUAUACUGUGUACCAAGCAGGAACUGCUGUUGGUCUUCGUUGAAAUCCUGUCUGCAAAUCUUUUUGUAUAACUUAAUUAGCAAAGUUAAAAUUAAGAUGAGGCUCCAGUGUGUUUAGAUACAACAAUUUCUAUGAGAGGACACUUCAUUAAAACAUUUAAUAACACAGCAAACUCUCAGUUAUCAAAGAAAUCUCUUUACAAAAACUGUUUUUGCCAAUGAAUAAAAUGAUUCAAUC
RNAcentral lists this long non-coding RNA (1485 nucleotides) under Homo sapiens (human). Its description in RNAcentral is "long non-coding RNA NONHSAT185250.1". Lineage: Eukaryota; Metazoa; Chordata; Mammalia; Primates; Hominidae. The record is from RNAcentral.